This 253-nucleotide ribosomal RNA is filed under the name uncultured prokaryote. RNAcentral's name for it is "partial 16S ribosomal RNA". It matches the Rfam family "Bacterial small subunit ribosomal RNA", at positions 524 to 776 of the family's 1533-position model. The record is from RNAcentral.
UACGAACUGUGCGAACGUUAUUCGGAAUCACUGGGCUUAAAGGGUGCGUAGGCGGCUUCGCAAGUCAGGUGUGAAAUCCCCCGGCUCAACCGGGGAAUGGCGCUUGAAACUGCGGGGCUCGAGCGAGACAGGGGUGUGCGGAACUUCCGGUGGAGCGGUGAAAUGUGUAGAUAUCGGAAGGAACGCCGGCGGCGAAAGCGGCACACUGGGUCUUUUCUGACGCUGAGGCACGAAAGCUAGGGGAGUGAACGGG